GACGAACGCUGGCGGCGUGCCUAAUACAUGCAAGUAGAACGCACAGUUUAUACCGUAGCUUGCUACACCAUAGACUGUGAGUUGCGAACGGGUGAGUAACGCGUAGGUAACCUGCCUGGUAGCGGGGGAUAACUAUUGGAAACGAUAGCUAAUACCGCAUAAUAUUGAUUAUUGCAUGAUAAUUGAUUGAAAGAUGCUAUUGCAUCACUACCAGAUGGACCUGCGUUGUAUUAGCUAGUAGGUGAGGUAACGGCUCACCUAGGCGACGAUACAUAGCCGACCUGAGAGGGGGAUCGGCCACACUGGGACUGAGACACGGCCCAGACUCCUACGGGAGGCAGCAGUAGGGAAUCUUCGGCAAUGGACGAAAGUCUGACCGAGCAACGCCGCGUGAGUGAAGAAGGUUGUCGGAUCGUAAAGCUCUGUUGUAAGAGAAGAACGGGUGUGAGAGUGGAAAGUUCACACUGUGACGGUAUCUUACCAGAAAGGGACGGCUAACUACGUG
RNAcentral lists this ribosomal RNA (505 nucleotides) under uncultured bacterium. RNAcentral describes it as "partial 16S ribosomal RNA". It matches the Rfam family "Bacterial small subunit ribosomal RNA", at positions 28 to 507 of the family's 1533-position model. The record is from RNAcentral.